This 2835-nucleotide ribosomal RNA is filed under the name Triticum aestivum (bread wheat). RNAcentral describes it as "partial small subunit ribosomal RNA". The record is from RNAcentral. Lineage: Eukaryota; Viridiplantae; Streptophyta; Magnoliopsida; Poales; Poaceae.
AUGGCGAUCAUCAGCUCGGCGAGUACAAAACUGACAUGGAUCUUGGCACCGCUGCUCGUCCUGGCCACGACGACGAUUCGAGUCCAUGGCCAGCCUUCUUCUACCACUGGGUUCAUAAGCCUCGACUGUGGAUACAGAAACAAUACUCCCUACACCGACAGCAGCAUACGAGGAAUACAGCACCAGUCCGACGUUGGAUUCGUCGAGGGCGGUUUGACCCACCAAAUAGCAGCAGUGUACAUGGCUGGUGCCCCAUAUGAGAGCCAAAAAACCUUGAGGAGCUUCCCCAACGGCUCAAGGAAUUGCUACACGCUGCCAUCCACCCCUGGUAAAAAGCUGGUGAGGGCCAUGUUUACUUACGGCGACUACGACGGGUUGAACCGGACCAUGGACGGGUCGCCAUUUUUAUUUGGGCUCCAUAUCGGUGCCAAUUUCUGGGAGGCGGUAAACUUGACAAAUUGGGAUCCAUCAAGCACAAUAUGGAAGGAGGUGCUCACCGUUGCUCCGGGCGACUCCGUGUCAGUCUGUCUCAUAAACUUCGGUACAGGGACUCCGUUCGUGUCUGCGUUGGAGCUGAGGCCCCUGCAAGAUUCAAUGUACCCUUUUGUGAAUACUUCAGUGUCAAUCAGCUACUUUAGACGAAUCAGAUUUGGUCAAACCACUGACUUCAUCACAAGAUAUCCAUUGGACCCUUACGACCGGUUCUGGGAGGCCUGGUCCUACACCACCUACCCCUGGAUCAGCCUAAACACCAGCACUCAAGUGAGGAGGCUACCCGGCGACAACACCUUCCAGGUACCAGAGGGCAUCCUAAAGCAGGCCUCGACCCUAGACACAAACUACUCCUUCCUCGAGAUCAACGUGACAGUGGGUCCCAACCUGGACGCCAAGAACCUGCAGCUUCUCCCGAUCUUCCACUUUGCCGAGAUCAACAUUAGCAACCAGAACAGGAGGUUCAACAUCUACAGCGACAACGACUUGCUGUUUCCAGACUUCUCACCGUCACGAUUCCAGGCAGACAGCAUGCAUGAAAACGGGCGGUUCUUGCACAACCCUGCUGCGAUCUUCCUCCUGAACAAGACGCGCAGCUCAAGGCUCCCGCCGCUCAUCAAUGCAUUUGAGGUGUACUCGCUAGUGCGGAUGGAUAACCUCACCACUGACGCCGACGAUGUCAAUUACAUGAAAGAAGUCAAGAAACACUACAAUUUGGCACGAAUAAACUGGAAUGGAGAUCCAUGCUCCCCCAGAGACUAUUCCUGGGAAGGUUUGACUUGCGACUACUCUAAGAGAAACCAGAAUCCGAGGAUUGUUGCAGUAGAUCUGUCUAAUAGUGGACUGAAAGGUGGAUUAGUCAUAUCAUUCAUGAACAUGGCAUCACUGGAGAACUUGGAUUUAUCACACAACAAUUUGACAGGAGCUAUUCCAGACUACCAAAUAAAGUCACUCAAAGUUCUCGAUUUGUCAUAUAACCAGCUCGAUGGACCAAUACCUAAUUCUAUUCUUCAAAGAUCUCAGGCUGGUCUACUUGACUUAAGGUUAGAAGGCAAUCCCGUAUGCUCAAAAGUCAAAGAUACAUACUGUUCAAAUAAGAAGAACACCAAAUCUACCAUGCUCGUCGCAGUGAUAGUUCCUGUAGUACUGGUAUCCCUCCUAGUAGUGAUGUGCAUACUCUGGAAAUUGUGCUGGAAAGGGAAGUCAGGAGACAAUGAGGAUUAUGCUAUGUAUGAAGAGGAAACGCCCCUACAUAUUGAUAUCAGACGGUUCACAUACGCAGACCUGAAACACAUAACAAACGACUUCAAACAAAUCGUUGGAAAAGGAGGUUUUGGUACUGUUUAUCAUGGCACAAUGGAAAAUGGUGAGGAAGUAGCUGUUAAGGUGCUUAUGGAGACAUCAAUAGCAGAGUCAACAGAUUUCCUCCCUGAGGUGCAAACCUUGUCCAAAGUUCAUCACAAGAAUCUCGUGACUCUACAAGGAUAUUGCCAGAACACGAAGUGCCUAGCCCUCGUUUAUGACUUCAUGCCCAGAGGAAAUCUUCAGCAGCUUUUAAGAGAAGGUUUUCCCUCCACUAUUUCAAUUUUUCUAUCAAACAUAGUUGACUUAGGAGAUGACUACGGUUUGACUUGGGAACAGCGACUUCAUAUUGCACUUGAUUCGGCACAAGGACUGGAAUAUCUACAUGAGUCAUGCACCCCAUCAAUAGUUCACAGAGAUGUCAAGACCGCCAACAUCCUUCUGGACAAGAACCUGGUGGGGAUCAUAGCUGAUUUUGGGCUUUCGCGGGCUUUCAAUGAUGCGCACACACAUAUAUCUACAGUUGCUGCUGGCACUCUCGGCUACCUCGACCCUGAGUACCAUGCAACUUUCCAGCUCACCAUCAAGACAGACGUUUACAGCUUCGGCAUCGUGCUCUUGGAGAUCAUCACUGGCAAGCCCCCGGUAUUGAUGGACCCUCACACCUACCACCUACCAAACUGGGUACGCCAAAAGAUUGCGAAAGGCAGUAUUCAAGAUAUCGUGGACAAGAGGCUGUUGGAUCAGUACGACGCCAAUGCCCUGCAGAGCGUGGUGGAUCUUGCCAUGAACUGCGUAGAGAGUGCAGCCAUCGACAGGCCAAGCAUGACCGAGGUUGUUUCAAGGCUAAAAGUGUUGUUGCCAACAACUCCAAGCCAGAAACAGUAUGCUUCCCCGUCCUCCACGAAGUCCAUGAAUGAUGAAAUGCGAAAGCAGUUCCAGCUGUUGAUUUCUGGAGAAGUCAACGACGAGAGCUCCAGCUCCUUCCAGUCUGGCUAUACCAGUCGGAUGACACAACUGGUCCCCUUAUCUGGACGGUGA